RNAcentral lists this unclassified non-coding RNA (869 nucleotides) under Hevea brasiliensis (rubber tree). Lineage: Eukaryota; Viridiplantae; Streptophyta; Magnoliopsida; Malpighiales; Euphorbiaceae. The record is from RNAcentral.
CCAGGCAAUAGGUUGAUCCCCUUCUACAAAUAAAGAAAGGCUGUCAAUAACUAGUGACUAAGGUGAAAGCAUAUAGAUGCUUGAAUCCAUAGUUGAAACAGUCAUCUCAAGGCCUACAAAAAUAAAAACAAGAGAAAAGCUUCUUGGAAAAUCAUUUCCAAAUGCUGUUAUGCAUGAAUCAAAACAAAUUUAUUGAAAACAACUUUCUGUGAAUGCUCUUUUUAUUGACUGCAGACUUACUUCGGAACCACUUCUUAAGUGAUGUUCAUUGAGCUCCUAAUUUCCAGUUUUCUUGGGAAAACAAAUUGCAGUUUAGCUUAACAGAAGAGCAACCAUCCAUCAAAUCAACACUAUUAAGAAUACCAUCCCUAAUCAAAGUCACCAAAAUCAGGCUGCAUCAGUCUCACUGGUCUAAUUCCAACUCCGCAAUGACGCAACUUAAUUCAUUUAAAAUGUGUACCUCACUGAAUAUACCCACAACCUCGUCAAGAAAAGGACCAAUUUUUCUUGCCUCCCUCUUAGGAACAGUUCUCACAAAAAGAGUUGAGAAAAAAGAAAUUGAAGGGCAGAGGGUAUAUGCAAUAACCUCCACAAAGAAAUUCAAAUUUUUGUCCAUUUAAUCCUAGGGAAUUCCCCGCAUAUGAGGCUCCUCCUGCAAGGUUCACCCUGUUCCUUUGGAGCGGUAAUAUUGGUUCUCAAUGUGCCUAAUUCUAGCUCUGUUUUGUAUCUUAUUGAAAAUGGCAUUAACAAAUACACGCAAGACAUAUUAUAUGAGAACACUGCCUAUACGAUUAACAAUGGAGCAAGAUCAUGAGAAACAACAUUCUACUCGAACAUUUAAGAAAUAAAUUAGAGAAAAUGAGUCCCAC